CAUUGGGGUCUACCACUACUAAUAUGUUGGUCCCGUAUUCGGAGAAGGAUUCCAUUAACACAUACCCAUCACAGAAGUGAGGCCCAGGACAAUUCAUUGCAGAAUCUGUCCGGUUUAAGGGAGAUAACUCAAUUUGAUAACAAUUAUUUGUAUCGACAAGGACGAUAAUACAUCCUCGCUCCACAUGGGGUUACUAGAUAAUUUGACAAUUGCGAUAAGACGCACAUUUAAGGGGUUGAACACCCGCUGGUCUGUAAGAUAACUUCAGUGAAAACCAAUACCAGAUGUUAUCGCUAAAAUAAUUUUGAUUCAUGUUUUCUAAUUUUUGGUUCAAUUUGUAAAAUUAAUUGAAGGCCGGAGUUCCGAUCUUUGUUGAAACCGGGGACUACUGAAUUAGUUUCUUAGUCCUAGUUGAAACAUUAAAACGGCGCAAGAUGUUUGACCCAAAUUGGUAAAUGAAAAAUGCAUAUAAAUAAAUUAUAUUUUCUUAUUCAAAAUGGAUUGAUCAUCAAACUGACUGAAAUGUAUUUGAAAUUUUAGUUCAAGUAACACAAUUGGCCGAAAUGUCGUUGUCUUACGAGUCUUUUUUUUUUUUAUGUGUAUAUAUAUAACAGGUACCUUGAGAAUUCGGAAUGUCUGUCGUUUAAUUCAAUUUUAAAAUUCAUUGACAGUUAAUAAUUAUUAAAUGUACACUCACUUUGAGCAUGGAAGUAAUAUUACUUCUAUGCUUUGAGUGAGGAUAACAGCACAAUUCCGCGAGUUCUGAUUUGUUUUUCGUAAAUUCUUUUGUUAUAAAUGAGGCCGUUAGUUUUCUCAAUUAAAUAAUUCCAUAUUUUUUUUAAUGUUGGGGCCUUUUAUAUCAGACUAUACGUACGGUAUGUUUUUUUCCUCAAUGUUGAAGACCGUACGGUUGUCUAUAGUUGGAUACGACCACCUAUACCAAGUCAGGAAUAUGACAGUUGUUACAUGUAUCCAUUCGUUUGAUGUGUUUUAUCAUUUGAUAUUGCCAUUUGAUUACGGACUUUUCGUUUUGAAUUUUCCUCGGAGUUCAGUAUUUUUGUGAUUUUACUUUUUUUGUUUGAACUUUGGUGGACAGUUGUCUUAUUGGCAAUCGUAUCACAUUUUUUUUUGUUUUCAUAUGUAUGUUCGAUGUGUACUGGUAGAUAACUUAUCUUCAAAUCGGUACUUUAGAUCUUUUGUAUUCUGUAGAUAAGUUUCAUGCCCAAUGUACAGGGAAGCAUUUUCCUACUAAUUUUAAGAGUU
Molecule: long non-coding RNA, 1263 nt
Filed under: Mytilus galloprovincialis (Mediterranean mussel)
Lineage: Eukaryota; Metazoa; Mollusca; Bivalvia; Mytilida; Mytilidae
Source: RNAcentral